AGUACCAUUGUAGUUCAGGAGGGGUCUCUGGCUUGGUACUCCAGAUAGGUGGUAGGUCACAAACAGCCACAUCACAAAUGAAAAAACACACCUUGUUAUGCAGGUAUGCUGAAUGUUUUCUUCCUGGUGCAUUUUUCUCCUGUCAGGUGAGGAAAAUGGCUCUGUUUGGGACCUACUUGGAAGAGGCAAAACAGUCUGUGACAGGACACUUCUGUCUGCCAAAAAGCCAGCUGUAGUGAAGGCUUGGACGAUGCUCAAAGGAAAAUCAAACCCAAAACAGGAUUACCUUCCCAGCCUCUGAGAUGGGUUUGAUCUAUACAUCACAAAAUGCAGGUUUCUCUGUUUCUUCUGUGAAGACCUCUUUGUGACAACUUCCUUACUGAUUCUGGAACCUAAGUAGCAUUGGGCCAUGACAAUGUGCCACUUAAAACUCAAUUAUCUUGAAAAAAAUCUGAAUUAAUCAAUAAACAGAAGGCCUCA
Long non-coding RNA from Passer domesticus (house sparrow), 480 nucleotides. RefSeq lists it as uncharacterized. NCBI's taxonomy places the organism in Eukaryota, Metazoa, Chordata, Aves, Passeriformes, Passeridae. The record is from RefSeq and is a predicted model, not a curated record. The transcript has 2 exons.